RNAcentral lists this ribosomal RNA (253 nucleotides) under uncultured bacterium. Its description in RNAcentral is "partial 16S ribosomal RNA". It matches the Rfam family "Bacterial small subunit ribosomal RNA", at positions 524 to 776 of the family's 1533-position model. The record is from RNAcentral.
UACGGGGGGGGCAAGCGUUGUCCGGAUUUAUUGGGCGUAAAGAGCGUGUAGGCGGCCAGGUAGGUCCGCUGUGAAAACUCGAGGCUCAACCUCGAGAUGUCGGCGGAAACCAUCUGGCUAGAGUCCGGAAGAGGAGAGUGGAAUUCCUGGUGUAGCGGUGAAAUGCGCAGAUAUCAGGAAGAACACCCGUGGCGAAGGCGGCUCUCUGGGACGGUACUGACGCUGAGACGCGAAAGCGUGGGGAGCGAACAGG